This 425-nucleotide ribosomal RNA is filed under the name uncultured Antarctic cyanobacterium. Its description in RNAcentral is "bacterial SSU rRNA". It matches the Rfam family "Bacterial small subunit ribosomal RNA", at positions 356 to 795 of the family's 1533-position model. Lineage: Bacteria; Bacillati; Cyanobacteriota. The record is from RNAcentral.
GGGGAAUCUUCCGCAAUGGGCGAAAGCCUGACGGAGCAAGACCGCGUGGGGGAAGAAGGCUCUUGGGUUGUAAACUCCUUUUCUCUGGGAAGAACAAAAUGACGGUACCAGAGGAAUCAGCAUCGGCUAACUCCGUGCCAGCAGCCGCGGUAAGACGGAGGAUGCAAGCGUUAUCCGGAAUGAUUGGGCGUAAAGCGUCCGCAGGUGGCAGUUCAAGUCUGCUGUCAAAGACCGGGGCUCAACCUCGGAAAGGCAGUGGAAACUGAACAGCUAGAGUAUGGUAGGGGCAAAGGGAAUUCCUGGUGUAGCGGUGAAAUGCGUAGAAAUCAGGAAGAACAUCGGUGGCGAAGGCGCUUUGCUGGACCAUAACUGACACUCAGGGACGAAAGCUAGGGGAGCGAAUGGGAUUAGAUACCCCAGUAGUC